This is a long non-coding RNA of Melanotaenia boesemani (Boeseman's rainbowfish), 105 nucleotides long. RefSeq lists it as uncharacterized. The record is from RefSeq and is a predicted model, not a curated record. The transcript has 3 exons. Lineage: Eukaryota; Metazoa; Chordata; Actinopteri; Atheriniformes; Melanotaeniidae.
AAAGCUUUCACAAAGUUUAAGAAGUAUGUCUUUAAAAUACCAACAGAAACUUCAAAAUAAAACAGGAAACAACUCAACUACACAAAGGAAGUGACACUAAGACAA